UACAGAGGUCUCAAGCGUUGUUCGGAUUCAUUGGGCGUAAAGGGUGCGUAGGUGGCGCCGUAAGUCAGAUGUGAAAUUCCGGAGCUCAACUCCGGAACUGCAUUUGAUACUGCGGUGCUCGAGGACUGGAGAGGAGACUGGAAUUCACGGUGUAGCAGUGAAAUGCGUAGAUAUUCGGAAGAACACCAGUGGCGAAGGCGGCUCACUGGCCCGGUACUGACGCUGAGGUGCGAAAGCGUGGGGAGCAAACAGG
This 253-nucleotide ribosomal RNA is filed under the name uncultured bacterium. Its description in RNAcentral is "partial 16S ribosomal RNA". It matches the Rfam family "Bacterial small subunit ribosomal RNA", at positions 524 to 776 of the family's 1533-position model. The record is from RNAcentral.